Molecule: ribosomal RNA, 376 nt
Filed under: uncultured bacterium
Lineage: Bacteria
Description: bacterial SSU rRNA
Rfam family: Bacterial small subunit ribosomal RNA
Source: RNAcentral
AUUGAACGCUGGCGGCAUGCCUUACACAUGCAAGUCGAACGGCAGCACGGGGGCAACCCUGGUGGCGAGUGGCGAACGGGUGAGUAAUACAUCGGAACGUGUCCUCUUGUGGGGGAUAACCAGUCGAAAGAUUGGCUAAUACCGCAUGAGAUCGCAAGAUGAAAGCGGGGGACCGCAAGGCCUCGCGCGAGAGGAGCGGCCGAUGUCGGAUUAGCUAGNGGUGGGGUAAAANCCUACCAAGGCGACGAUCCGUAGCUGGUCUGAGAGGACGACCAGCCACACUGGGACUGAGACACGGCCCAGACUCCUACGGGAGGCAGCAGUGGGGAAAUUUGGACAAAUGGGCGCAAGCCUGAUCCAGCCAUGCCGCGUGUGU